CGAAGACAUGGAAGAUUUCAUCCGCGACCUUGCUCUUAGAUCUACAAUGCCUCUUGCGAAACUGACAGCGGAAUACCGGACUUUUAUUUGAUCAUGAUGGAAUCCACAUGUGCCUCAUACUUCAGGAAUCCAUGCGGUCCACCAUGUGGCAUUGUAGGUUUAAGAGCUGUGCCGCGGGUGGAUUGAUGAUCACCUGU
This 197-nucleotide microRNA precursor is filed under the name Physcomitrium patens. RNAcentral describes it as "Physcomitrella patens miR1028c stem-loop (ppt-MIR1028c)". The record is from miRBase by way of RNAcentral. Lineage: Eukaryota; Viridiplantae; Streptophyta; Bryopsida; Funariales; Funariaceae.